ACGACGUCGUUUUCAUUCUUCU
Molecule: small nuclear RNA, 22 nt
Filed under: Arabidopsis thaliana (thale cress)
Lineage: Eukaryota; Viridiplantae; Streptophyta; Magnoliopsida; Brassicales; Brassicaceae
Description: snRNA_02549
Source: RNAcentral